RNAcentral lists this long non-coding RNA (688 nucleotides) under Cavia porcellus (domestic guinea pig). RNAcentral describes it as "lncRNA (ENSCPOG00000034081.1)". The record is from RNAcentral. Lineage: Eukaryota; Metazoa; Chordata; Mammalia; Rodentia; Caviidae.
AUGGCCGAGACUCCGAGUGCUUCUCUGGGCUCCGCAUCCGCUGGUACAGCGAGCAACCCCUCAGCUGCCUUGGCCAGCAUUGGAGUCUUUACUCCUAGCGAGCACCUUGGCGCGUUCUGCUGGCCUCGGAAACCGCCACGCCUAGUCCUAGGCACUCGGGGUCUGGAGAUUUAUUAUUACCGCGUCUGCUGCCCACCAGCUACUCCCAGAUGCUUCAUCCUGCGCGGUCUGCAGAGCAACAUCACAUCGCCACUUCUUCCCUGUGAGCUGAACCAUUUGCUACCUGAUUUUGUAAAUAAAGCUUUACUGGAAGACAGACUCAUCCCUUUUCCUGUCGAUAGCUGCUUUCCUCCUGGAAGGGCAGAGUGGCUAGGACAAUCUGGCUCAUAGCAUAAUGGUAUUUGGCCCAGUGAAGAGUCUGCAGGUCCCUGAAGUCAACUAUUCCCACCUAGUAUCUCCCUGUCACUGUGAACUGUAUUUCCCAUCACUGACUCUGCCUCUACACAGAUUCUCUCUGAUCUCUCAUGCUCCCAAUUAGCUCUAGCGUCUGCGUCAGGCUUUCUCUUCCAUUCCACUUCUGGGGAACAAGAUUCCUCUCCUAAGCAGAAAGAUGAGGAAGAACAGGGUUCACCUCUUAGGCAGAAAGAUGAGGAUCUUAGGAGACUGUUGUACUAAAAUGCUAAAAAAC